This 724-nucleotide long non-coding RNA is filed under the name Olea europaea subsp. europaea. Lineage: Eukaryota; Viridiplantae; Streptophyta; Magnoliopsida; Lamiales; Oleaceae. The record is from RNAcentral.
CCAAGCCGCUAUCUUACUCCAGAUGCGUUGGCUUAGGCAAUUCCACAAUAAAAGAGUAACCACCAGCUCGCCACCUGUCCCCAUUACCCUUUUUUAUUUUGACCCGGCGGAGCCACCGAGCGAGAAAUUUCCAUUAUUAAGGCCAAAAAUAGACCGUCUCUCUCACGCACAAACACACACCACUGUGUGUUAAUAUAGAGAGAAAUAUAUAGAAAUUGAGAGAAUUGCAGGCUUUAAUUUCAUUUCGAAUUCAUUUGAUUUUCAUCUCGCAUUCCACUAUUUCUUUCUUUAAUUUCUGCAUACAUAUAUAGAUCUUGCGGUUAGGUACAUGUGUGUGUAUAUAAUAUAUACAUAUAAUUUGUAAUCAUUUCUAGAGAGAGGUGAGUACUGAUUCUUGUGAAAAUGGAAACGAUCUCAAAAGCAGAAAAGAGUGAAAAUAUGUUAAUCAAUUUUUGUUAAAAUUUUUAAAAUUUAGAUCUUAUCUAUUCAGUUUAGAAAAUUAGUUUUUAUAUUUUCUGGAUUAAAUUUAAUUAGUAAAUGAAAAUCAGAUCGAAGCCUUAAAAAUAAUUUAGAAGGCAUAAAGAGAGAAUUUUUGUUUAAAUUUCUAGAAAUUAUUGGAAAAUGCCGGGGCACGGGGAUUUGGACAGGCAAAUAGAGCAAUUGAUGGAGUGCAAGCCGCUGUCAGAGAUGGAGGUGAAAACUGUGUGCGAUCAGGCGCGGGCNN